AUUGAACGCUGGCGGCAGGCCUAACACAUGCAAGUCGAGCGGAUGAAGGGAGCUUGCUCCUGUAUUCAGCGGCGGACGGGUGAGUAAUGCCUAGGAAUCUGCCUGGUAGUUGGGGAUAACGUCCGGAAACGGGCGCUAAUACCGCAUACGUUCUGAUGGAGAAAGUGGGGGAUCUUCGGACCUCACGCUAUCAGAUGAGACUAGGUCGGAUUAGCUAGUUGGUGGGGUAAAGGCCUACCAAGGCGACGAUCCGUAACUGGUCUGAGAGGAUGAUCAGUCACACUGGAACUGAGACACGGUCCAGACUCCUACGGGAGGCAGCAGUGGGGAAUAUUGGACAAUGGGCGAAAGCCUGAUCCAGCAAUGCCGCGUGUGUGAAGAAGGUCUUCGGAUUGUAAAGCACUUUAAGUUGGGAGGAAGGGAAGUAAGUUAAUACCUUGAUGUUUUGACGUUACCAACAGAAAAAGCAACGGCUAACUUCGUG
RNAcentral lists this ribosomal RNA (484 nucleotides) under uncultured bacterium. RNAcentral describes it as "partial 16S ribosomal RNA". It matches the Rfam family "Bacterial small subunit ribosomal RNA", at positions 30 to 507 of the family's 1533-position model. The record is from RNAcentral.